UCUGCAAUCAAACUUAUAAUUGAGUUUAGUUGUCCGCUUUUCCAAUUCCAUGACUAGAAUUUUGGAGAAGGCUCUCUUGCAAUAAGGCACACGUUGUCGCAGGGAUUACCUGGUGGGCUGCCGCAACCUUGCGAAAGUAAGGCACAUUUGCAAUGGGACCCACUGGAAACCUCCUGUGGACGAGACCAUCGUGUACAAACAUGUAUGCAAUACCAAACACUGUGAUGCCAAGUCCCUGAAACUCUCGGAAGUAUCAUAUGCCAUCCUUGCAUGAACAAGUCAACAAACACACACAAACACAUUUUGUAUAUGUAUGCUAAAGUUCUCUAUUAUAUAUUUGAGAGAUUCUUGUGAGAUGAUGCCUUCACUACUUUCCGCAAGGCAUUUUUGAAUAGGUGCGAUGAUUUGCAUCAUUUAUCAGCGGCUGAAAGAAAGUCAUAGAUAGGGCACAAGGAUAAUUGUAAAUCAUUGGGAGGCAUAACCUCUCCGACAGGAUUAUCCUUACCAGGUAACAAAUGACAAAUAUGCUUGUCCUUUAUGACUGCCUUCCAUUUCAUAUCUCGCAAAUACAAAUAAUGUUCCAGCACAAAUUUGUUUGGCAGAAAAUCUUGACGAGUAGCACAAUGAAAGUUCACCAACUGUGAGUAGCCGAGUAAUCUUUAUCACUUUGAUUAAUUCUCUCUGUGUUUUUCUCUAUGUACUUGUGUAUAUGUGUAUCUGUGCAUAUAAUCAUGGCAGAAUUUGGAAGGUAUUUUCGUUUAUAGGUUAGGUCUAAUGUGUUUGUACUCACCGCACCAAAGCAGAGGCCUGGAACGAGACCCUUAUUGAAGAAGCCAUAUGAUAGAAGAGAGAUUGCGGGGACAGAAUUGAUUAUGGCAAAUACAUCGUUCAG
RNAcentral lists this long non-coding RNA (892 nucleotides) under Amborella trichopoda. RNAcentral's name for it is "long non-coding RNA (ATRI_LNC000620)". The record is from RNAcentral. Lineage: Eukaryota; Viridiplantae; Streptophyta; Magnoliopsida; Amborellales; Amborellaceae.